CGACCGGCGAAUGGGUGAGUAACACGUAUGCAACUUACCUCUUAGUGGUGAAUAACUCGAUGAAAGUCGGACUAAUACACCAUACUCUCCUUAGAUCACAUGAGAAGAGGAGGAAAGAUUAAUCGCUAAGAGAUAGGCCUGCGUUCCAUUAGCUAGUUGGUAAGGUAACGGCUUACCAAGGCAACGAUGGAUAGGGGGACUGAGAGGUUGACCCCCCACAUUGACACUGAGAUACGGGUCAAACUCCUACGGGAGGCAGCAGUA
RNAcentral lists this ribosomal RNA (264 nucleotides) under uncultured Porphyromonas sp. Its description in RNAcentral is "partial 16S ribosomal RNA". It matches the Rfam family "Bacterial small subunit ribosomal RNA", at positions 92 to 355 of the family's 1533-position model. Lineage: Bacteria; Pseudomonadati; Bacteroidota; Bacteroidia; Bacteroidales; Porphyromonadaceae. The record is from RNAcentral.